Molecule: transfer RNA, 74 nt
Filed under: Oligoflexia bacterium
Lineage: Bacteria; Pseudomonadati; Bdellovibrionota; Oligoflexia
Description: tRNA-Met
Rfam family: tRNA
About the family: Transfer RNA (tRNA) molecules are approximately 80 nucleotides in length. Their secondary structure includes four short double-helical elements and three loops (D, anti-codon, and T loops).
Source: RNAcentral
GGCAGGAUAGCUCAAUUGGUUAGAGCACAGCAUUCAUAACGCUGAGGUUCCGAGUUCAAGUCUCGGUCCUGCUA